AGGUUGGUCGCUCAAUGAUGGGAAGCGCGUGGUCUCGAACCGCGGAUCCGAGGGUUCGAAUCCCUACCAAUUCG
RNAcentral lists this transfer RNA (74 nucleotides) under Pteridium aquilinum subsp. aquilinum. RNAcentral describes it as "tRNA-Arg". The record is from RNAcentral. Lineage: Eukaryota; Viridiplantae; Streptophyta; Polypodiopsida; Polypodiales; Dennstaedtiaceae. RNAcentral also lists the same sequence under 1 other name.